GACGAACGCUGGCGGCGUGCUUAACACAUGCAAGUCGAACGGAGAUUAUUAAUGAAGCUUGCGAUUUAAUAAUCUUAGUGGCGGACGGGUGAGUAACGCGUGGGCAACCUACCCAUAAGCGGGGGGAUAACAGUUGGAAACGACUGCUAAUACCGCAUAAGCUAUUGAGGUCGCAUGACCUAAAUAGUAAAGGUGGCGAAAGCUAUCACUUAUGGAUGGGCCCGCGUCUGAUUAGCUAGUUGGUGGGAUAGCAGCCUACCAAGGCAACGAUCAGUAGCCGGCCUGAGAGGGUGGACGGCCACACUGGGACUGAGACACGGCCCAGACUCCUACGGGAGGCAGCAGUGGGGAAUAUUGCGCAAUGGGGGAAACCCUGACGCAGCGACGCCGCGUGAGCGAAGAAGGCCUUAGGGUCGUAAAGCUCUGUCGAGGAGGAAGAUAAUGACGGUACUCCUCGAGGAACGCCCCGGCUAACUACGUGCCAGCAGCCGACGGU
This 496-nucleotide ribosomal RNA is filed under the name uncultured bacterium. RNAcentral describes it as "bacterial SSU rRNA". It matches the Rfam family "Bacterial small subunit ribosomal RNA", at positions 28 to 521 of the family's 1533-position model. The record is from RNAcentral.